RNAcentral lists this ribosomal RNA (484 nucleotides) under uncultured bacterium. RNAcentral describes it as "bacterial SSU rRNA". It matches the Rfam family "Bacterial small subunit ribosomal RNA", at positions 29 to 518 of the family's 1533-position model. The record is from RNAcentral.
AUGAACGCUGGCGGCGUGCUUAACACAUGCAAAGUCGAAACGGGCUUAAAGAGGAGAGGUUUCUCAACUUUAAGUUAGUGGCGGACGGGUGAGUAACGCGUGGGUAACCUGCCCUAUGCAGGGGGAUAGCAGCUGGAAACGGCUGAUAAAACCGCAUAACACGGCAGCACCGCAUGGUGCAGCCGUCAAAUAUUUAUAGGCAUAGGAUGGGCCCGCGUCUGAUUAGCUAGUUGGUGGGGCAACGGCCUACCAAGGCGACGAUCAGUAGCCGGCCUGAGAGGGUGAACGGCCACAUUGGGACUGAGACACGGCCCAAACUCCUACGGGAGGCAGCAGUGGGGAAUAUUGGACAAUGGGGGAAACCCUGAUCCAGCGAACCGCCGCGUGAGUGAAGAAGUAUUUCGGUAUGUAAAGCUCUAUCAGCAGGGAAGAUGAUGACGGUACCUGACUAAGAAGCACCGGCUAAAUACGUGCCAGCCGCCGC